UAUGAAGCGAUUCCCAGAAAAUUUGUGGACAAAUUCUCGGGAACUACUGGAAAAAAAUCACGUGGAACUCUAAGAGAAAAUCUCGAGGACUUCUGGAGAAAUUGCGUGGAAACUCGAAACAAUUUCAAAGGAUGCCUGAAGAGCUCUUCAGGCUAGGCUUAUUCUCGGGAAUCUUCUGGUGAACUGAGGAAAUUUUCUGGUAGCUCCUGGAGGAAGUUUUGUGAAUAUUCUGGAAAAAUUCCCAGAGUAAUUAUACUAGUAUUCCCUGCCAGACUUUUUUUUUAGAAUUUAUUAUGUUGAAUUAUAGUCGGUAACCUGCAACGGCUAUGCUCUAUUUUAAAAGGCAUUGACACACUUCAGGGAAUCAGAAAUAUUUAUUAUAUUAAGUGACACAAUAGCCGAUAGCUUUGUAACCGAUACAAUAUAGCUAUAUACGGCAAUACAGAUCUCAUUAUAGAAAAAGACAGGAAUAUCAAAAACUUAACCAUCACCCGAACAUAUUGUCGGGACUAACAACAUUCAUUUGACAUUUUUGUGUCGAUCGCUGUGUUGCGCUUGUGUUGCAAAUGUCGGAGACAAAGGCUGCCGAAUGUUAACGAAAACGUGUCAAAGACUGUGAUCGCUAACAACUCUGAGCUGGACAGUUCAAUCGAAACGUAGACGUAUCUUUGCGGUGAUCAGUUUAAUAAGUUUUCCGGUGUGGUCGAUGCAGCCGUGUGUCGUAAUGAGGACGAAAAUCAGAUGAAUCAAUGAGAACUAGCAUUUCUGGAGAAAUUGUUGUACGGUGAAGAUUUGAUCCGUUGUCGUUGAAAACUUCACACAAACUCAGUCGCUUUAGGUGAUAGACGAUGGAUAAUAAUGUGGAUAAGCAUUUUUAGGCGGCACUCAAAAUAACAGUAUAUCUGAACUGUUGAAUAUUAUCACUGAUGUGUAUGAAAGCCCUUUAAUGCAAAUGAACUAAACUAUCACACUAUCUAAUCCAAUUGAACUGUCCCGUUUUGACUUACACCAACUGUAUACGGAAAGCUCCUCCACAACUGGCUAUCUUUCAAUCUCUUCUUUCAUAAUUUCCCAUUCGUAGCAAAUUCUAAUCUAAUGUCCUUCUUUUUUGCCACCAGCUUGGAGUGCUUCAUGUCAGAAGGUGCAGCCACAUUCGACGAGUGCUAUCUUACUGUGUAGUGCUUUCAAAAUCUUUUUGCCCUGUAAACUUCACCUGACUUGACUUGCUAUUUUGAAGUGGUUUAUCUUUCUGGAAACAGUUGCCAUAAGGAUAUGCUGUUUGUUGAAAUGAGCUUUCUUGGAACUGUUUUUUUUUUUUUUCAUUUUCACGUUUUGCACUAUGGAAACAGCUCUCUCUAUAAUUGCAGCACGGCGAUAAUAAAUUCAAGUAUUUUCUUUUAUUGGUAACAAAAUUUGGUAAAUGCAAUUAGUAAGUGAUUAGAACAAAGAACGAACGAUAAAAACGAAGCCCCAUCCGUAUUCAACUAUUUUAUGAAAAUUAGCAUUGCCUCAAUAAUUUAAUGAUUUAAUCAUCUCAUUUUACAAGAAUCCCUAACAAGUUCUCGCAGUGUAUACCUGGCACAAGAGGGGGGUUUUCCAUCAUCAUAUCAUGUAAACCAGCUACUUGAAAUUCAGCAACCUGCUUUACAUUUGCUCCGGCACGUACCGUUAGGCACUGAUAAGGGCGCGUGGGCCCACCAGGUGUCAUACCGGAAGAUUCAAUUUCCAUUGUAAAUUGCGCCCCAGCAUUCGUAACGCCGAUUUCAAGAUUUUAGUGCCGUCUUCUGUCUAUGAUCUGUUGUCUAUGCACAAAGGUGUAUAAAUAAACAAUGAUGAUGGAGAGUUGACUUAUUCAGUGUGGGCGUUAGUGCCAGAUCUAGAUUAGAUUGUUUCGCCAUGAGGAUAACGUGGAUGCUGCUACUGUUGGGUCAGGCGGUCUUGGGACAGCAAGGAAGCGAUUUUUGUUUGAAAGGAUUUCGAAAAGUGCUCGAGUAUGAUAGGUGUGACUACUUUGCAUUUGGGCCCCUUUUCAUGAGCUCUUAUUGUGACUGGCAACAUCAGUUGGAGUACGGUAUUACAAAAACAUUUUGCUGUGGAGGAAUUUGUGCAUACUGCUUUCAGCAGAUCGAUAACAUUGAUGGCAGCAGCAGUAGCGACAGUAGUGGAAGUACUGUGUUAGCUGAUAUAAACCCAACCACGUUUUAUCCUUAUGAUAUCGGACGAGAUUUUACUAAUUCAGAUGAACAAUCUGAGUUUGGAGAAAUGAUUUUUAUAAGGAUGAAACGAAUGAUGGAAGAAUUUUUAUAUGCAGAGAAUAAAACUGAACAAGCUCUCACAUAAACAGCUAGUAAAAGUUAUAUUACUUUACAUUUGUUGGAAUUCAAAAAAACUUUUGGACUCAUCGAUGAAAUAAGGUUAAAUAAAUCAACAAACUGGUUAUGACAAUAUAUCAGAAAACAAG
Long non-coding RNA from Aedes albopictus (Asian tiger mosquito), 2461 nucleotides. RefSeq lists it as uncharacterized. NCBI's taxonomy places the organism in Eukaryota, Metazoa, Arthropoda, Insecta, Diptera, Culicidae. The record is from RefSeq and is a predicted model, not a curated record. The transcript is spliced from 2 exons.